CUUGCUGGGUGGAUUAGUGGCGAACGGGUGAGUAACACGUGAGUAACCUGCCCCUGACUCUGGGAUAAGCGUUGGAAACGACGUCUAAUACUGGAUAUGAUCACUGGCCGCAUGGUCUGGUGGUGGAAAGAUUUUUUGGUUGGGGAUGGACUCGCGGCCUAUCAGCUUGUUGGUGAGGUAAUGGCUCACCAAGGCGACGACGGGUAGCCGGCCUGAGAGGGUGACCGGCCACACUGGGACUGAGACACGGCCCAGACUCCUACGGGAGGCAGCAGUGGGGAAUAUUGCACAAUGGGCGAAAGCCUGAUGCAGCAACGCCGCGUGAGGGAUGACGGCCUUCGGGUUGUAAACCUCUUUUAGUAGGGAAGAAGCGAAAGUGACGGUACCUGCAGAAAAAGCACCGGCUAACUACGUGCCAGCAGCCGCGGUAAUACGUAGGGUGCAAGCGUUGUCCGGAAUUAUUGGGCGUAAAGAGCUCGUAGGCGGUUUGUCGCGUCUGCUGUGAAAUCCCGAGGCUCAACCUCGGGCUUGCAGUGGGUACGGGCAGACUAGAGUGCGGUAGGGGAGAUUGGAAUUCCUGGUGUAGCGGUGGAAUGCGCAGAUAUCAGGAGGAACACCGAUGGCGAAGGCAGAUCUCUGGGCCGUAACUGACGCUGAGGAGCGAAAGCGUGGGGAGCGAACAGGAUUAGAUACCCUGGUAGUCCACGCCGUAAACGUUGGGCGCUAGAUGUAGGGACCUUUCCACGGUUUCUGUGUCGUAGCUAACGCAUUAAGCGCCCCGCCUGGGGAGUACGGCCGCAAGGCUAAAACUCAAAGGAAUUGACGGGGGCCCGCACAAGCGGCGGAGCAUGCGGAUUAAUUCGAUGCAACGCGAAGAACCUUACCAAGGCUUGACAUACACCGGAAACGGCCAGAGAUGGUCGCCCCCUUGUGGUCGGUGUACAGGUGGUGCAUGGUUGUCGUCAGCUCGUGUCGUGAGAUGUUGGGUUAAGUCCCGCAACGAGCGCAACCCUCGUUCUAUGUUGCCAGCGCGUUAUGGCGGGGACUCAUAGGAGACUGCCGGGGUCAACUCGGAGGAAGGUGGGGAUGACGUCAAAUCAUCAUGCCCCUUAUGUCUUGGGCUUCACGCAUGCUACAAUGGCCGGUACAAAGGGCUGCGAUACCGUAAGGUGGAGCGAAUCCCAAAAAGCCGGUCUCAGUUCGGAUUGAGGUCUGCAACUCGACCUUAUGAAGUCGGA
Molecule: ribosomal RNA, 1238 nt
Filed under: Curtobacterium sp.
Lineage: Bacteria; Bacillati; Actinomycetota; Actinomycetes; Micrococcales; Microbacteriaceae
Description: bacterial SSU rRNA
Rfam family: Bacterial small subunit ribosomal RNA
Source: RNAcentral